This 403-nucleotide ribosomal RNA is filed under the name uncultured bacterium. Its description in RNAcentral is "partial 16S ribosomal RNA". It matches the Rfam family "Bacterial small subunit ribosomal RNA", at positions 30 to 526 of the family's 1533-position model. The record is from RNAcentral.
AUUGAACGCUUGCGGCAGGCCUAACACAUGCAAGUCGAGCGAGCGGCGGACGGGUGAGUAAUGUAUGGGGACUGCCCGAUAGAGGGGGAUAACUACUGGAAACGGUGGCUAAUACCGCAUACUAUCGGAUAACCCAUAUGGGAUUAGCUAGUAGGGGGGGUAAAGGCUCACCUAGGCGACGAUCUCUAGCUGGUCUGAGAGGAUGAUCAGCCACACUGGGACUGAGACACGGCCCAUACUCCUACGGAGGCAGCAGUUGGUAAUAUGGGACAAUGGACGCAAGCAUGAAGGAGCCAUGCCGCGUGGAUGAAGAAGGCCUUAGGGUUGUAAAGUACUUUCAGCGGGGAGGCGGUACCUGCAGAAGAAGCACCGGCUAACUCCGUGCCAGCAGCCGCGGUAAUUC